GGAUUAGAUACCCUGGUAGUCCUAGCCGUAAACGAUGUGCACUAGGUUGAGGGCGUACUCUGCGUUCUUGGCCGGAGCUAAUGUAUUAAGUGCACCGCCUGGGGAGUACAGUCGCAAGGCCGAAACUCAAAGGAAUUGACGGGGGCUCAUACAAACGGUGGAGCAUGUUGUUUAAUUCGAAGCAACGCGCAGAACCUUACCCAGACUUGACAUGCUAGUGGUACGGAACCGAAAGGUCGAGGACCCUUCACGGGGAGCUAGUACAGGUGUUGCAUGGCUGUCGUCAGCUCGUGCUG
This 296-nucleotide ribosomal RNA is filed under the name uncultured bacterium. Its description in RNAcentral is "partial 16S ribosomal RNA". It matches the Rfam family "Bacterial small subunit ribosomal RNA", at positions 775 to 1067 of the family's 1533-position model. The record is from RNAcentral.